CUGCAGCCCGAGUGGUGAUCGAUUUUAUCGAGCCUAAAGCGUCCGUAGCCGGACUAGUAAACCCUUGGGUAAAUUGGGCAGCUUAACUGUCCAAAUUCCGAGGGGACUGCUAGUCUUGGGACCGGGAGAGGUCAGAGGUACUCAAGGGGUAGGGGCUAAAUCCUGUAAUCCUUUGGGGACCACCAGUGGCGAAGGCGUCUGACUAGAACGGAUCCGACGGUAAGGGACGAAACCCUGGGGCGCGAACCGGAUUAGAGACCCGAGUAGUCC
Molecule: ribosomal RNA, 270 nt
Filed under: uncultured archaeon
Lineage: Archaea
Description: partial 16S ribosomal RNA
Rfam family: Archaeal small subunit ribosomal RNA
Source: RNAcentral